GACGAACGCUGGCGGCGUGCCUAAUACAUGCAAGUCGAGCGAACAGAUGAGAAGCUUGCUUCUCUGAUGUUAGCGGCGGACGGGUGAGUAACACGUGGGUAACCUACCUAUAAGACUGGGAUAACUCCGGGAAACCGGGGCUAAUACCGGAUAAUAUAUUGAACCGCAUGGUUCAAUGUUGAAAGACGGAUUCGGCUGCCACUUAUAGAUGGACCCGCGCCGUAUUAGCUAGUUGGUAAGGUAACGGCUUACCAAGGCGACGAUACGUAGCCGACCUGAGAGGGCGAUCGGCCACACUGGAACUGAGACACGGUCCAGACUCCUACGGGAGGCAGCAGUAGGGAAUCUUCCGCAAUGGGCGAAAGCCUGACGGAGCAACGCCGCGUGAGUGAUGAAGGUCUUCGGAUCGUAAAACUCUGUUGUUAGGGAAGAACAAAUUUGUUAGUAACUGAACAAGUCUUGACGGUACCUAACCAGAAAGCCACGGCUAACUACGUGCCAGCAGCCGCGGUAA
RNAcentral lists this ribosomal RNA (514 nucleotides) under uncultured bacterium. Its description in RNAcentral is "partial 16S ribosomal RNA". It matches the Rfam family "Bacterial small subunit ribosomal RNA", at positions 28 to 523 of the family's 1533-position model. The record is from RNAcentral.